This 253-nucleotide ribosomal RNA is filed under the name uncultured bacterium. RNAcentral's name for it is "partial 16S ribosomal RNA". It matches the Rfam family "Bacterial small subunit ribosomal RNA", at positions 524 to 776 of the family's 1533-position model. The record is from RNAcentral.
UACGUAGGGGGCAAGCGUUGUCCGGAUUUACUGGGCGUAAAGAGCGUGUAGGCGGCCAGGCAGGUCUGUUGUGAAAACUGGAGGCUCAACUUCCAGACGUCGACAGAAACCGCUUGGCUAGAGUCCGGAAGAGGAGAGUGGAAUUCCUGGUGUAGCGGUGAAAUGCGCAGAUAUCAGGAAGAACACCCGUGGCUAAGGCGGCUCUCUAGUACGGUACUGACGCUGAGACGCGAAAGCGUGGGGAGCGAACAGG